RNAcentral lists this ribosomal RNA (372 nucleotides) under uncultured organism. Its description in RNAcentral is "bacterial SSU rRNA". It matches the Rfam family "Bacterial small subunit ribosomal RNA", at positions 526 to 896 of the family's 1533-position model. The record is from RNAcentral.
CGUAGGGUGCGAGCGUUAAUCGGAAUUACUGGGCGUAAAGUGUGCGCAGGUGGCCGCGCAAGUCGAGUGUGAAAUCCCCGAGCUUAACUUGGGAAUUGCGCUCGAAACUACGUGGCUCGAGUGUGGCAGAGGAAGGUGGAAUUCCACGUGUAGCGGUGAAAUGCGUAGAGAUGUGGAGGAACACCGAUGGCGAAGGCAGCCUUCUGGGCCAACACUGACGCUCAUGCACGAAAGCGUGGGGAGCAAACAGGAUUAGAUACCCUGGUAGUCCACGCCCUAAACGAUGAUGACUAGUUGUUGGAGGAGUUAAAUCCUUUAGUAACGCAGCUAACGCGUGAAGUCAUCCGCCUGGGGAGUACGGUCGCAAGAUUA